Molecule: ribosomal RNA, 166 nt
Filed under: uncultured bacterium
Lineage: Bacteria
Description: partial 16S ribosomal RNA
Rfam family: Bacterial small subunit ribosomal RNA
Source: RNAcentral
AGGCAGCAGUGAGGAAUAUUGGUCAAUGGCGGGAGCCUGAACCAGCCAAGUCGCGUGAGGGAAGACGGCCCUACGGGUUGUAAACCUCUUUUGUCAGGGAGCAAGAACAGGCAACGUGUGCCUGACUGAGAGUACCUGAAGAAAAAGCAUCGGCUAACUCCGUGCC